GACGAACGCUGGCGGCGUGCUUAACACAUGCAAGUCGAGCGGUAAGGCCCUUUCGGGGGUACACGAGCGGCGAACGGGUGAGUAACACGUGGGUGACCUGCCCUUAGCUCUGGGAUAAGCCUGGGAAACUGGGUCUAAUACCGGAUAUGACUCCAUGACGCAUGUUGUGGGGUGGAAAGCCUUGUGCGGCUAGGGAUGGGCCCGNGGCCUAUCAGCUUGUUGGUGGGGUGAUGGGCCACCAAGGCGACGACGGGUAG
This 257-nucleotide ribosomal RNA is filed under the name uncultured bacterium. Its description in RNAcentral is "partial 16S ribosomal RNA". It matches the Rfam family "Bacterial small subunit ribosomal RNA", at positions 28 to 286 of the family's 1533-position model. The record is from RNAcentral.